AGACAGGCUUUACAGAAGACAGACAGGCUUUACAGAAGACAGACAGGCUUUUUCGGAAGACAGACAGACUUUUUCGGAAGACAGACAGGCUUUACAGAAGACAGACAGGCUUUACAGAAGACAGACAGGCUUUUUCGGAAGACAGACAGGCUUUACAGAAGACAGACAGGCUUUACAGAAGACAGACAGGCUUUUUCGGAAGACAGACAGGCUCUACAGAAACUGUGGCUACACCUCAGGUUGACAGGAUUCUUGAAGACAAACAGGACAGGAGAGAUCCUGCUCUGGGAGAGACGAUAUGGAAGCCAUUCUGGGAUGGCUUCUGAGGAGAAAGGUAAUGUAACAUCUAAUCAAUGUCACA
Oncorhynchus tshawytscha (Chinook salmon) is the source of this 361-nucleotide long non-coding RNA. The record is from Ensembl. NCBI's taxonomy places the organism in Eukaryota, Metazoa, Chordata, Actinopteri, Salmoniformes, Salmonidae.